UACGUAGGGGGCUGGCGUUGUCCGGAAUCAUUGGGCGUAAAGCGCGUGUAGGCGGCUUGGCAAGUCUGCUGUGAAAGUCCAGGGCUCAACCCUGGAAUGCCGGUGGAAACUGUCAAGCUAGAGUCCGGAAGAGGCGAGUGGAAUUCCUGGUGUAGCGGUGAAAUGCGCAGAUAUCAGGAGGAACACCAAUGGCGAAGGCAGGUCGCUGGGACGGUACUGACGCUGAGACGCGAAAGCGUGGGGAGCGAACAGG
This 253-nucleotide ribosomal RNA is filed under the name uncultured bacterium. Its description in RNAcentral is "partial 16S ribosomal RNA". It matches the Rfam family "Bacterial small subunit ribosomal RNA", at positions 524 to 776 of the family's 1533-position model. The record is from RNAcentral.